Molecule: microRNA precursor, 92 nt
Filed under: Microtus ochrogaster (prairie vole)
Lineage: Eukaryota; Metazoa; Chordata; Mammalia; Rodentia; Cricetidae
Description: miRNA (ENSMOCG00000009966.1)
Source: RNAcentral
CUACUUGGAUGGAAAAAAUGCUUUUUAAAAUUGACUGUCUGGCUGGAGAGAUGGCUCAGUUGUUAAAGGCUAGACUCACAACCAAAAAUAUA